Molecule: long non-coding RNA, 649 nt
Filed under: Dasypus novemcinctus (nine-banded armadillo)
Lineage: Eukaryota; Metazoa; Chordata; Mammalia; Cingulata; Dasypodidae
Description: lncRNA (ENSDNOG00000051081.1)
Source: RNAcentral
CUGUCGACCUGAAAACACACGCCGAGGCACUUCUUAAUGUGACUCUUGUGAACGAGGGAUCCUUCACUCAUUUGCGUAACUGCUCUGUUUGCAGGUGGGAUGUUCCUGAACUGGUGUCGUCAGCUUCAUCAUUCAGAAGGUGGGGAGGAUGGAUCUCUGCAGAAAGGUUCCGCCGCAUCCUACUUCCUGUCCUCACCCUCACCAGUGUCUCCAGGGAGAGCGGGAUCCGCUGGACAGAGCAGCCGGCAACGUCACUGCGGCGGGCAGGGCAGAGCGUCGUGCAAUUGUCCAGAACCUUCCAGUCUCUUCUGGUUCCUGCGGCCGCAAGCUUGUGCCUGAUGAACACGCCCGGUGUCAUCACUGGCAGUCCACCUUCCCUUCCGUCCACUUAAAGCCUGUAAAAGCCUGGAACUCUCUCCCUGCCUCUGUGCCUCACGUCCAGCUCAGGCGUGAACCCCCAGGCAGACUCGGAAAGCCACCCCUCGCUGCCUCUGCUCCUCCUCGCUUCAAUCUCCACCUGUCCCCAGAAUUCCCCCACCUUCCCUUACCCAAGUCAUUUUACAAGCGAAAAUAUCUCAAGCCUCCCUUUACUAAUUUAUCUAAUGAACAAAUUCAAGCAUGUCACAGGGACUCAUUAUUUUUGGAGGCA